AGGAUCACGUGAGAAACGUGCCCCAGACUCUGGGAUAACAAUUGGAAACGAUUGCUAAUACCGGAUGACGUCGGAGAACCGCAUGGUUCACUGACGAAAGAUAUUUCGGUUUGGGAGCGUCUCGCGGCCUAUCAGCUUGUUGGUGGGGUAAUGGCCUACCAAGGCAACGACGGGUAGCUGGUCUGAGAGGAUGAUCAGCCACACUGGGACUGAGACACGGCCCAGACUCCUACGGGAGGCAGCAGUGGGGAAUCUUGCGCAAUGGGCGAAAGCCUGACGCAGCAACGCCGCGUGCGGGAUGAAGGCCUUCGGGCUGUAAACCGCUUUCAGCAGGAACGAAAAUGACGGUACCUGCAGAAGAAGGAGCGGCCAACUACGUGCCAGCAGCCGCGGUGACACGUAGGCUCCAAGCGUUGUCCGGAUUUAUUGGGCGUAAAGAGCUCGUAGGCGGUUGAGUAAGUCGGGUGUGAAAACUCUGGGCUUAACCCGGAGACGCCAUCCGAUACUGCUCUGACUAGAGUUCAGGAGGGGAGUGGGGAAUUCCUAGUGUAGCGGUGAAAUGCGCAGAUAUUAGGAGGAACACCGGUGGCGAAGGCGCCACUCUGGACUGAAACUGACGCUGAGGAGCGAAAGCAUGGGUAGCAAACAGGAUUAGAUACCCUGGUAGUCCAUGCCGUAAGC
This 681-nucleotide ribosomal RNA is filed under the name uncultured bacterium. RNAcentral's name for it is "bacterial SSU rRNA". It matches the Rfam family "Bacterial small subunit ribosomal RNA", at positions 109 to 807 of the family's 1533-position model. The record is from RNAcentral.